AUUAAAGAAAAAGAAGAGUUUUCAAAUAAUAAAUUGUUUCUAACCGUUUCCCACUACUGCCACGUGUCACCCAUGAGAUGCCAUAUUUUCCCGCUUUCUCAUCCUUGAUAUAACUGAGCUUCACUCCACAACAUUCUUGCUUUUUGCCAUCUCUCUUUGUAUCAGUUUCUCUCUCUAAAACUGUUUCAUAUUCUCCUUCUUCGCUCAAGCUUAUGAUCUUCAGAGAUUGAACUUCAACAAGAUACACGUUUUUCGUAUGAGCUUUGGAGAAUGAACUUCAACAAGGUAUCUCCCUUCACUCACUUCUUUCUCCGUCACCGGAAUAUUCUUAUUACGUUUCUUGUCCAACCAGAAACACGAUCUUUGGAGAAUGAAUUUCAAGAAGGUAUCUCCGUUCACUCACUUCUUUAUCCCUCACCGGAAUAUUCUUUUUAUGUUUCUUGUCUAACCAGAAAGAUGUUUUUUCGUAUGAUCCUCGGAGAUUGAACUUCAAGAAGGUAUCUCUGUCACCGUCUCCGUUUUUUCGUUUCUUUUUCUAUACACAUAUAUAUUUUAAAAUUUCAAAAAGCUGAUUAAAAUUAAAAGCUGAAAAAUAUAUUGAGAAAUAGUGAAGGAAUUAUGUUGAUCAUUUUGACAUGAUGACGUCGUUUGAUCCAUGUAGCUGACUCUACUCAUUGAAAUUAAGCCUUGGUUAUUGUAGACGAUGUGCAGCAGAAAUUUUGUGGCUUCUAACUAUAUCAUGAUGCGUUACUAUUAAUAUCUUCAAUGUUUUAUGGUACUGGCUGGAUUCUAUUUAUCUGAUCAUAACUGAGGAAGCCUAAUUUGUUUUAUGGUACUGGCAGGUUGAAGAUAGGAUUUAUGUUGAAGAUAUUACAGCUGAAUGUAAUAUUACAGAAAGACAGAUCAAGUUCUUGAAGAUGGUUUGUGUUGAAGAUGUUACAGUUAAAUGAUUUGUGCAGAUGAAACCACUAGAAGGCUGAUUUUAAUUUUGUAAUUCUUUCAGUGUCAUCUCCAUUUCAUGUCAUUGCUUGUGUCAAUUGUAUGCCAUACAUGCAGAACUAUUCUUAGUGAAAAGGUCUUUCAAACUUGACUUCCUUGAGUAUCAGGAAGAGCAGCACCGUCACACCUGAUGGAAUGUUCACUGUUCAGAGAAGUUGGACCUUGAUGGGUGUUCACUGUUCAGAGAUUCACAGUGGAUUUGUUCAUCUUCAAGCAUCGUGUGUGUUCAAGCUUUAAUAGUGGUAUCUGCAACUUGGUGAAGGAAGGUAAAGGAAGAACACAAUCACAUCUAAUCCCUAUGGUAGGAAAUAGUAGCUUCAACAUGACUCUGCCAACACUUGAAGGCAAGAAUUACGAAAGAUAACAUAUUCAAAUGAAUGUGCUCUUUGGGUGUUUUGCAAAAUGGCAUUGUUCAUGAUUCAUCAAUGCGUGAAUGAGUCGAAUUUUGAGAAGAUUGCAAGGCAUUGACUACAAAAGAAGCAUGGGACAUCCUUGAGAAAUGCUAUAUAGGGGAUGAGAAAGUGAAAUUGCAGACCUUGAGAAGAUAGUAUGAGUUGUUGAAAUGAGGGAGAGUGAUACAAUUGGUGAUUACUACACAAAGCUCAUAUCAUUGACAAAUUAUAUGAAGGGAUGUGGUGAGGCGACGGAAGAUCAAUUGGUGGUAGAAAAGGUGUUAAGAACACUCACCUCCAAGUUUGCUCAUGUGGUAGAUGCCAUAGAAGAAUGAAAAGAUCUUGAUAUACUCAAGAUUGAGGAUCUUUAAAGUUCCUUGGAAGUACAUGAACAUAGAAUCAAAGUAAAGAUUCAAGGUAGAGGAUCUGAACAAGCUCUUCAAGUUGAGUCUUGCAUAUCAAGGAAUUUUGGCUAAAGAAAUAUUCAAAGAAAGGCAUGCAUUUGAUUGAAGUGGAUGAUGAAGAGGAUAGUGAAGCAAUAUUGUGGUAAUGCUUGGCGUCUACUAUGGUGGCGUUGGGCGUUUGUUGUGGCGGUGUUGGGCGUCUGUGGCAACAUUUGGUGUAUGUCGUGGUGUUGGGCGUCUACGGCGGUGCUGGGAGUCUGUGGUGGUGUUGUGAGUGUGAGGCGACACUAGGUGUGUGAGGUGACGCUGGGCGUGUGAGGUGACGCUGGGCGUGUGAUGCAGCAUUGGGCGUCUACCAUGGUGUUGCUGAGCGUCUCUAGCAGCGUUGGGUGUUAGGCGGCACUGAGCGUGUAAACGGCUUUAAGAGUGUGAGGCGGUAGUGGGCGUUUGUCGUGGCGAUGAUGGACGUCUGCCAUGGCGGGAUUGGUGUUUGUGGCAGCUGUGGGCGUCUAGUGCAACUUUGGUCGUCUGUGGCAGAGCUGGGUGUUUGUGGUGGCGUUAGGCGUGUGAGGCGGCAUAAAGCGUGCGAGGUGACAAUGGGAGUGUGGCGGCGUUGGGUGUAAGGCUGCAUUGGGCGUGUAAGGCUGUGAUGGGUGUGAGGUGGCGAUGGGUGUGAGGCGAUGCUGGGCGUGUAAGGCGAUGAUGGGCGUGUAAGGUGACGCUGGGGUUCUAUGGUGGUGACAGUGGGUGUGUGAAGCGUUAGGCAUGUGAAGCGGCGAUGGGUGUAUGAGGCGACGCUGGGCGUCUAUGGUGGUGCUGAGCGUUUGUGGCGGUUUUGGGCGUCUGCCGUGGCAGUGAUGGGCAUCUGUCGUGGCAGUGAUGAGCGUCUAUUGAAGUGGCGAUGAGCGUCUGUCGUGACGACGUUGGGCGCCUAGGGGCGUUUGGGGCGUCGUUGGACGUGUGCGGCAGAGCUGGGCAUGUGAGGUAGCAAAGGGCAUUUGUGUCAGCGCCAAGCGUUUGAGGCCGUGGUGGGCGUGUGAGGCGACGUUGAGGGUCUGGGGCGACGCCGGGCGUCUGUGGCACUGCUAGGCGUUUGUGCUGGUGAAGUGCGGCUGUCGUGUCGACGAUGGGUGCUGUCGUCUGGGAGUCUGUGGCGGUGGUGGGCAUUUGUGGCGGAGGUGGGCGUGUAGUAAUGGUGGGCGUUUGUGGCAGGUGUGGACGUUUGUGGCAGCGGUGGGCGUGUGACGACGGUGGGCAUUUGGUACGACCUUGGUCGUGUCGCGGUUGGGCGUGUGAGGCGACAUAGGGCAUGUGAGGCGGCGGUGGGCGUGCGAGGCGGUAGUGGGUGUGGGAGGCGGCGAUGGGCGUGCG
RNAcentral lists this long non-coding RNA (3166 nucleotides) under Lupinus mutabilis. RNAcentral describes it as "partial ncRNA". Lineage: Eukaryota; Viridiplantae; Streptophyta; Magnoliopsida; Fabales; Fabaceae. The record is from RNAcentral.